UACGGAGGGUGCAAGCGUUAUCCGGAUUCACUGGGUUUAAAGGGUGCGUAGGCGGCCAGAUAAGUCAGUGGUGAAAGCCCGCAGCUCAACUGCGGAACUGCCAUUGAAACUGCCUGGCUUGAGUAUAAUUGAAGUGGGUGGAAUACAUCGUGUAGCGGUGAAAUGCUUAGAUAUGAUGUAGAACCCCGAUUGCGAAGGCAGCUCACUAAAUUGUAACUGACGCUGAGGCACGAAAGCGUGGGUAGCGAACAGG
Molecule: ribosomal RNA, 253 nt
Filed under: uncultured bacterium
Lineage: Bacteria
Description: partial 16S ribosomal RNA
Rfam family: Bacterial small subunit ribosomal RNA
Source: RNAcentral